GGAAGGGUGGCCGAGUGGUUUAAGGCAGCGGUCUUGAAAACCGCCGUGGGCGCCAGCCCACCGUGGGUUCGAAUCCCACCCCUUCCGCCA
This 90-nucleotide transfer RNA is filed under the name Rhodoblastus acidophilus. RNAcentral describes it as "tRNA-Ser". It matches the Rfam family "tRNA". From Rfam's summary of the family: Transfer RNA (tRNA) molecules are approximately 80 nucleotides in length. Their secondary structure includes four short double-helical elements and three loops (D, anti-codon, and T loops). RNAcentral also lists the same sequence under 1 other name. The record is from RNAcentral. Lineage: Bacteria; Pseudomonadati; Pseudomonadota; Alphaproteobacteria; Hyphomicrobiales; Rhodoblastaceae.